This 500-nucleotide ribosomal RNA is filed under the name uncultured bacterium. RNAcentral's name for it is "partial 16S ribosomal RNA". It matches the Rfam family "Bacterial small subunit ribosomal RNA", at positions 28 to 507 of the family's 1533-position model. The record is from RNAcentral.
GACGAACGCUGGCGGCGUGCUUAACACAUGCAAGUCGAACGGGUCUGCCCUGUUUUUUGCGGGGUGGGUCAGUGGCGAACGGGUGAGUAACACGUGAGUAACCUGCCCCUCACUUCUGGAUAACCGCUUGAAAGGGUGGCUAAUACGGGGUGUUCUGGCUGUGCCGCAUGGUGUGGCUGGGAAAGAUUCACUUUUGUGGGGUUUUGGUGGGGGAUGGGCUCGCGGCCUAUCAGCUUGUUGGUGGGGUGAUGGCCUGCCAAGGCUUUGACGGGUAGCCGGCCUGAGAGGGUGGGCGGUCACACUGGGACUGAGAUACGGCCCAGACUCCUGCGGGAGGCAGCAGUGGGGGGUAUUGCACAAUGGGCGGAAGCCUGAUGCAGCGACAUCGCGUGAGGGAUGGAGGCCUUCGGGUUGUGAACCUCUUUCGCCGGUGAAGAAGGUCCUGCUCUUUGUGGUGGGGUUGACGGUAGCCGGGUUAUGAAGCGCCGGCUAACUACGUG